GCUUAUGGCCAUACCACCCUGAGUGCCCAAUCUCUUCUGAUCUUGGAAAAUAAGCAGGGUCAGACCUAGUUAGUACUUGGAUAGGAAAAAUACAAGAGUUUAAAUGCA
Molecule: ribosomal RNA, 108 nt
Filed under: Propithecus coquereli (Coquerel's sifaka)
Lineage: Eukaryota; Metazoa; Chordata; Mammalia; Primates; Indriidae
Source: RNAcentral